GCCUAUUGCACUCAAGCAAAGGGGGCGAGGAGGGAGGACUACAAAUCCCAGAGGGCCCCGCGCGAAGCGACGGUGCGUGCGACGCAGUUGAAGAGCAGGAGGCUGCAUUUGUUGAGUAUUGUGCAGGAUUCAGACAGAAACACAGAAAAUGACAUCUUUGAUGAACCUUGUGGGGGUUCCAGUGGCCUCGAUUGAGCUCACUAGGACAACAGUUUCUGUUGGACUAUUUAUGCUCUUCCUUUGUCUUCUAUGCUGGUACUCAGUGGCACCAUACUCUCAGUUGAAAAGGGCUGGAAUCAAGCACCCGAAGCCAUUUCCUUUUGUAGGCAACAUGUUUUUCUUCCAAAAGGUGACAGAGCAGCACUCCAAAAAAGCUAAAUAUGAACAUGACACGCACCGCAACAGUCAGCUCAUGACAGUGACAGGAACCAAGGUCUUGUUUUCAACAGUAGAAAGUAUCAAAUUGACAUGAGCCAAAUCAAUGCCUUUGAUUCAAUUGACUUAUCAACCAGGAUGAGAACUGAUCCCACGAAAAUAGAAGAUGCACAGAAGAUGUUUACACCUGAAGAUAACAGUGAUCUACUAACGUGUCUCAGGGCUUUUUCGAGGGCCUGCAGGAGUUGGUGGAGAAGUAUGGCCAAGUUUGUGGGUACUGAUUUGGGUCUGACAAGAAGUGGCUAGUGGAAAAGUUGCUGAUUUGCUUUAAAUUUCCUGAUUUUCUUGCGUUCUAAUGGAAGAUUCCGUUAGAUUGGACAAGAGCGAUUGUAACUCUUCCAAUCGGAAGAAAGGGAGUCAGAAAGCUGGAAACUACAAGCAAUUAGCUUAAUGUCUGUUCAUGAGGAAGAUGUUGGAACUAUUCAUAAAGAUGUUGUAACAGGGCAUAUGGAAAAUUUCAAGGCAAUCAAGCAGAGCCACCAUGGUUUUACAUAAAGGGAAAUCAUACUAAACCAAUUUAUUGGAGUUUGGUGAACAAGUAGCAGUUGCUGUGGAGAAAGAGGAACCAGUGAAUGUGCCAGUGGAACCAGUAGCUUUAUUACACCUAUAAUUUGGCUGUGUGAGUCUCUGAAAGUACUACAGACUCGUCAUUCCAGCCGAACAGCUUGCCUUCUUUGCUAAUGCAACUUUUCCCCUGCUGUAGCAGCCUUUUUUGCUUGAAAAAUGUUCUUUACAGUAAUUCCAAGAUAUAGAUUUAUGUCUGGGCAAUGAAAUUUGAAAAUUAAUAAUUCAGGUAACACAUCUUCCUAAUAUCCUACUUAAAUAUGAAGACCAAAACUGCACACAGUACUCGAGGUGUGGUUCACCAACUCCCUAUACAAAUGUAUUAGUACUUGGCUUCUUGUAUACUCCAUCCUGCUUGCAAUCCAUUUGCCUUCCUGGUUGCUUGCUGUAUGUGCAUGAAAAUCUUUCCUGAUUGAUGUGUGAGGUCAUCCAGAUCUGUCUGUACUGCGACAUUCUCCUUAAAUAAUAUGAUUUUAAGUUUUUUGUACCAAAGUGUGUUGCCUCACAUUUUCUCAUUAUAUACUCCACCUACCAAAUUUUAGCCCACUCUCUUGGUUGCAUUUCUUUGAAGACAUUUUGGGUUGAAUUUUAUUAUGAGAGUGAGAUCCGCUAUCAAACCCCAGAAAAAGAAAUGCAACAAUGGUGCUGGAUGAAGGCUAGAAUUAAUGACCGCUUGAGGGAGUACUCCCGUCACCGUUGAAAUUUGCCUCACAAAGUGAAGGCCUGCACCAAGUGUUUACCCUGCCAAUUGAAAGCUAGCAGACUGGUGGCUGGGCAAGGGUCUAGGGGCAGUUUCUCCUUACUGUACACAUUGGAUGUGUUUCUGUUCUCCCCAGGCUCUUAUUCCCUCCCAAACCCUAUAAGGUAAUCCUUUCCCUGUGUUUCUUCCCCAAUUCCGUCCUGAUUCUGACAAUCCCAACACUACGACACUGCUCGCCAUGGCCUGUCAUCGCGGGCUCGCACAUAUCUUUCAGUUUGUUCCUUUGCUGCCUUUCCCUUUCUGGGAAUACAUGGAAAAUAAUGGAUUACCCAAAAAUAGCUAUCAGGCUGUUCUGUUUUGCUAAUUUCUGUGUCCCUCUUUCAUGAAUGGGAUGUUGCAACCUUUGUAAUCUACCAGGACCCUUCCAGAAUCUUGGGAACUUUGGAAGCCCAUGUACCUACUUUCUCUGCAGCACUUCUUUUACGAUGCUAGAAUGUAGGACUUGUUAGUUCCAUUAGAUAGCUUUAAGUUCCUUGCUCCCUUUUGCCCAUUGAUUUAUAAAUUUGAUAAAUGGUUUAUCCCUUCUUAUUAUAUUAUCCAUAUUGUUGGAUUGUUCUAUUGUUUUGUCCUUUCUUGUGCAUUUUCUAAAUUUUGUUUCAGCUGAAUCCUCCCCUCCACAGUUCAUUUUAUUGCUUCUUUAGCACUUACUUGAUUUCUAACUCGACUGGGGAGGUACCAAAAUGAACACACCAAACGUUUGAUGGUGGGAGUUUGGGGGUAGGUGGUUGGAGACUGGACGUCAUGUGAUGAAACUUCAGGGAAUGCAGCCAAACAGUUGGAAAAGAGGCAAUUGUUGAGUUCUCGAUUUUAGUCAGACUGAGCAAGUUGCAAGAUCAGGUUGGUGAGGUAACUGAGUGGAAAGACACACAGUGUUGUAAACUCAUCUGUGAACUCUGUAAAAGGAUUUCAGGAUUCUGGAAAUGAUUUGUCAGUUUAGUUAAAAAGCCAUUUAAUGUGUAACAUAGAUAUUGUUGCUAGUCUGAUCUUUAAUCCACGAUAGUCUUAUGUUUGGUAAUUACUUAUUUUAGACUUCAAUGUGAAAUAUGUGGUUAAUUGACAUUUUUGAUUUUCCAUCUAUCAGAAAGAUAUGGAAAGAAUGGCAAACAAUCGACAUCACUUCCUUGGCUGAUAAAAGGAUAAUUUGCUGACUUUGAGGCACACUAUGUCCCAUUCAACAUAAAAUAACAGCAACAACGUGCAUUUGUAUAGCUCCUUUAACAUAGUAAACUGUCCCAAGGCACACUUCAGUGGAGCACUGUCAAACAAAAUUUGACGCUAAGGAAAUAUUUGGUGACCAAAAUGUGGGCAAAGAGUUAAGUUUUAAAGAGCAUCUUCAAGGAUGAAAGCAAGGCUGCAAGUUUUAGGGGGAAAUUACAGAGUUUGGGGCCUUGGUGGUAGAACACAUGACUGCUGUUGGUUAUUCAAUUAAAAUCAGGGAUGUUCUAUGUAAGAAGAGACAUGCUACUGUUCACAGAAACUCCUUUUCAUGGGGAGCAAAUAUGGAGUGC
This is an RNA transcript of Rhincodon typus (whale shark), 3267 nucleotides long. It is a transcript of the gene named thromboxane-A synthase-like, with no coding region annotated. The record is from RefSeq and is a predicted model, not a curated record. Lineage: Eukaryota; Metazoa; Chordata; Chondrichthyes; Orectolobiformes; Rhincodontidae. The transcript is spliced from 6 exons.